CUACCUAGUAGUGGGGGACAACUCGGGGAAACUCGAGCUAAUACCGCAUACCCUCUACGGAGAAAAGCGGGGGAUCUUCGGACCUCGCGCUAUUAGAGGAGCCUGCGUUGGAUUAGCUUGUUGGUGGGGUAAAGGCCCACCAAGGCGACGAUCCAUAGCUGGUCUGAGAGGACGAUCAGCCACACCGGAACUGAGACACGGUCCGGACUCCUACGGGAGGCAGCAGUGGGGAAUCAUGGGCAAUGGGCGCAAGCCUGACCCUGCCAUGCCGCGUGUGUGAAGAAGGCCCUAGGGUUGUAAAGCACUUUCAGUGGUGAAGAAAAGCCAGGGGUUAAUAGCUCCAGGUCUUGACGUUAACCACAGAAGAAGCACCGGCUAACUCCGUGCCAGCAGCCGCGGUAAUACGGAGGGUGCGAACGUUAAUCGGAAUUACUGGGCGUAAAGCGCGCGUAGGCGGUUCGGUAAGUGGGAUGUGAAAGCCCCGGGCUUAACCUGGGAAUUGCAUUCCAAACUGCCGGACUCGAGUAUGGUAGAGGGAGGUAGAAUUUCCUGUGUAGCGGUGAAAUGCGUAGAUAUAGGAAGGAAUACCGAUGGCGAAGGCAGCCUCCUGGACCAAUACUGACGCUGAGGUGCGAAAGCGUGGGGAGCAAACAGGAUUAGAUACCCUGGUAGUCCACGCCGUAAACUAUGAGAACUAGCCGUUGGGCUCCUUGAGGGCUUAGUGGCGCAGCUAACGCGAUAAGUUCUCCGCCUGGGGAGUACGGCCGCAAGGUUAAAACUCAAAUGACUUGACCGGGGCCCGCACAAGCGGUGGAGCAUGUUGUUUAAUUCGAUGCAACGCGAAGAACCUUACCACCGCCCCUUGACAUUCCUCAGAACUUGUCAGAGAUGACUGGGUGCCUUCGGGGAACUGAGUGACAGGUGCUGCAUGGCUGUCGU
This 939-nucleotide ribosomal RNA is filed under the name uncultured organism. RNAcentral describes it as "bacterial SSU rRNA". It matches the Rfam family "Bacterial small subunit ribosomal RNA", at positions 126 to 1055 of the family's 1533-position model. The record is from RNAcentral.